GACGAACGCUGGCGGCGUGCCUAAUACAUGCAAGUUGGGCGCUGAAGGUUGGUACUUGUACCAACUGGAUGAGCAGCGAACGGGUGAGUAACGCGUGGGGAAUCUGCCUUUGAGCGGGGGACAACAUUUGGAAACGAAUGCUAAUACCGCAUAAAAACUUUAAACACAAGUUUUAAGUUUGAAAGAUGCAAUUGCAUCACUCAAAGAUGAUCCCGCGUUGUAUUAGCUAGUUGGUGAGGUAAAGGCUCACCAAGGCGAUGAUACAUAGCCGACCUGAGAGGGUGAUCGGCCACAUUGGGACUGAGACACGGCCCAAACUCCUACGGGGGGCAGCAGUAGGGAAUCUUCGGCAAUGGACGAAAGUCUGACCGAGCAACGCCGCGUGAGUGAAGAAGGUUUUCGGAUCGUAAAACUCUGUUGGUAGAGAAGAACGUUGGUGAGAGUGGAAAGCUCAUCAAGUGACGGUAACUACCCAGAAAGGGACGGCUAACUACGUG
Molecule: ribosomal RNA, 497 nt
Filed under: uncultured bacterium
Lineage: Bacteria
Description: partial 16S ribosomal RNA
Rfam family: Bacterial small subunit ribosomal RNA
Source: RNAcentral